UACAGAGGCCUCGAGCGUUGCGCGGAAUCACUGGGCUUAAAGGGUGCGCAGGCGGAAGCGUAAGUGUCUUGUGAAAGCCCACGGCUCAACCGUGGAAUAGCAGGGCAUACUGCGCUUCUUGAGGCUGGUAGGGGCUGCCGGAACUGUAGGUGUAGCGGUGAAAUGCGUAGAUAUCUACAGGAACGCCGAUGGUGAAGACGGGCAGCUGGGCCAGUUCUGACGCUCAUGCACGAAAGCGUGGGGAUCAAACAGG
RNAcentral lists this ribosomal RNA (253 nucleotides) under uncultured bacterium. RNAcentral's name for it is "partial 16S ribosomal RNA". It matches the Rfam family "Bacterial small subunit ribosomal RNA", at positions 524 to 776 of the family's 1533-position model. The record is from RNAcentral.